UCUCCAACUAGUUUUCGGUACCU
RNAcentral lists this microRNA (23 nucleotides) under Octopus vulgaris (common octopus). RNAcentral describes it as "Ovu-Mir-12543_5p (mature (guide))". Lineage: Eukaryota; Metazoa; Mollusca; Cephalopoda; Octopoda; Octopodidae. The record is from RNAcentral.